This 261-nucleotide ribosomal RNA is filed under the name uncultured bacterium. Its description in RNAcentral is "partial 16S ribosomal RNA". It matches the Rfam family "Bacterial small subunit ribosomal RNA", at positions 524 to 776 of the family's 1533-position model. The record is from RNAcentral.
UACGGAGGAUGCAAGCGUUAUCCGGAAUGAUUGGGCGUAAAGCGUCCGCAAGUGGCUAUGUAAGUCUGCUGUUAAAGAGUCUAGCUCAACUAGAUAAGAGCAGUGGAAAACUACAUGGCUAGAGGUGCGUUCGGGGGCAGAGGGGAAUUCCUGGGUGUAGCGGGUGAAAAUGCGUAGAGAUCAGGGAAGAACACCGGUGGCGAAGGGCGCUCUGCUAGGCCGCAACUGACACUGAGGGACGAAAGCUAGGGAGCGAAUGGG